CCUACGGGAGGCAGCAGUGAGGAAUAUUGGUCAAUGGGCGCAAGCCUGAACCAGCCAAGUCGCGUGAAGGAUGACGGUCCUAUGGAUUGUAAACCUCUUUUGUCGGGGAGCAAGGCGAGCCACGUGUGGCUGUAUGGAGAGUAUCCGUAGAUAAAGCAUGGGCAAACCCCGUGCAGGCAGCCGCGGUAAUCGGGAGGAUGCGAGGUUUAUCGGGAUUUUUUGGGUUAAAGGGUGGGGUAGGCGGAAGGUUAAGUCGUCGGUAAAAUGUCGGUGCCAAACACAGGACUGCCAUUGAUACUGGUCUUCUUGAGUAAAGUAGAAGUAGGCGGAAUUCGUGGUGUAGCGGUGAAAUGCAUAGAUAUCACGCAGAACUCCGAUUGCGAAGGCAGCAUAC
RNAcentral lists this ribosomal RNA (394 nucleotides) under uncultured bacterium. RNAcentral describes it as "partial 16S ribosomal RNA". It matches the Rfam family "Bacterial small subunit ribosomal RNA", at positions 338 to 729 of the family's 1533-position model. The record is from RNAcentral.